Molecule: long non-coding RNA, 734 nt
Filed under: Homo sapiens (human)
Lineage: Eukaryota; Metazoa; Chordata; Mammalia; Primates; Hominidae
Description: non-protein coding LINC00665:21
Source: RNAcentral
GGUCCAGAUUUUGAACAAAUCUCGCUAGAGAUUGAACAGAGCUGCGCCUGGAUCCCGCCACAGUGAGGAGACCUGAAGACCAGAGAAAACACAGCAAACGGAGUCUUGCUCUGUUGUCCAGGCUGGAGUGUAGUGUGGCGAUCUCGGCUCCCUGCAAGAAUCUGCCUCCCAGAUUCACGCCAUUUUCCCACCUCAGCCCCUGGAGUAGCUGGAAGUACAGGCUCCCGCCACCACGCCUGGCUAAUUUUGUUUUUGUAUUUUUAGUAGAGACGGGGUUUCACUGUGUUAGGUAGGAUGGUCUCGAUCUCCUGACCUCAUGAUCCAUCCGCCUUGGCCUCUCAAAGUGCUGGGAUUACAGGCAUGAGCCACCGCACCUGGCUGUUUUUUCAUUUCUAUUAUGAUUUGUUCUGUGGAAUGUCAGUGACUUAGCGGUGUUUUUCACAUGUUUAUAAAGCUGAAUAGUUCUGUAUGUCAGCUCAGCACCCCUAGUGUCAGUCAUGCUACUCUCCUGCUGUGCAUAGAUGGGGGCCUGUCCACACCCAAAUCUCCUGGGUUCCCGCUGUCCGCACCUGAAGGUACCCACCAGAUGUGUCUGUCACUGCCCUCCAUCCACCUUUCUUGUGGUUCUCAUGUUUCUGCCUCCCUAGAGACCAUUUCUCUCUACAGCAGUAGUUUCCAAUAGAAAUACAAUGCCAGACACAUACGUCAUUUUAGAUUUUCUAGUAGUCACUUUA